GCCCUUAUAGCUCAGUGGUAGAGCGUUAGUCUUGUAAACUAAAGGUCCGUUGUUCAAUCCAGCGUGGGGGCA
This is a non-coding RNA of Gilbertella persicaria, 72 nucleotides long. The record is from the annotation of a RefSeq genome assembly. NCBI's taxonomy places the organism in Eukaryota, Fungi, Mucoromycota, Mucoromycetes, Mucorales, Choanephoraceae.